RNAcentral lists this unclassified non-coding RNA (1773 nucleotides) under uncultured fungus. RNAcentral describes it as "sequence contains 18S rRNA gene, ITS1, 5.8S rRNA gene, ITS2, 28S rRNA gene". The stretch from base 653 to 1773 matches the Rfam family "Eukaryotic large subunit ribosomal RNA", at positions 1 to 961 of the family's 3401-position model. The record is from RNAcentral. Lineage: Eukaryota; Fungi.
GGAGGGAUCAUUAAAACGUAUCCACGUAUAAACCUUUGUGAAUCUGUUUAUCUAACCCGAAUCUCAGUGAUGGCGCGCCAGACCGUAGAAGCAAUCAGGAGUAGCUUUUUUACGGUUAGCUAUCAUCUGUGGGUCUCCUAUUUUUAACUUUUUUAAACCUUAUGUACCUUUUAUUGUACUAACGAGUUUAACGCUAACGCGUUUCACUUGAAAUUUAAAAAAUUAACGCACAACUCUUAGCAACGGAUAUCUAGGCUCUCGUAUCGAUGAAGAACGCAGCGAAAUGCGAUACGUAAUGCGAAUUGCAGAAUUCAGUGAAUCAUCAAAUCUUUGAACGCAACUUGCGCUUUUGGGUAUCCCUGAAAGCAUACCUCUCUGAGUAUCGUUUCACCACCAACUCGACUGCGUACUUUUCGAAGUAUUCGUGUGUCGGAAAAUGAGUCGUCUCAGUGUGUCAUGCAUUGAGUCACUUGAAACGCAUCCCACUCCGUAAUCAGAUACGAUUCGAGUACACCCUAAAAAAGUGUUGCUUGACUAUUUGAUGUUCGAUAAUUGACCUUUGGUCAUUACACUAUCACAUCGAGUAGUAGUAACUGUGUUACGAGUGAGUAAAACAAGGAACCCUAAAGAGUUUGAUUACUCUUUUUGAUCUUGAUCUCAGAUGAAGUAAGAGAACCCGCCGAAUUUAAGCAUAUUAUUAAGCGGAGGAAAAGAAACUAACAAGGAUUCCCCUAGUAACGGCGAGUGAAGCGGGAAGAGCUCAAAGUUAAAAUCGGGGUACCUAGCGGUACUUCCGACUUGUAAUCUAGAGACACUUUUUCAGCUUCGACCCGGGUAUAAAUCUUUUGAAACAAGGUGUCAUAGAGGGUGAGAAUCCCGUCUUUGACCCGGAGUUCGGGGCGUACGAAAGGUGUUCCAAGAGUCGAAUAGCUUGGGAAUGCUGUUCUAAAUGGGUGGUAAAUUUCAUCUAAAGCUAAAUAUCGACGAGAGACCGAUAGCGAACAAGUACCGUGAGGGAAAGAUGAAAAGAACUUUGAAAAGAGAGUUAAAAAGUACUUGAAAUUGUUAAGAAGGAAGCACUGGAAACCAGUUAUACUUUUUAUACAUAGACACUGCGUUGGUGAGAGGGCAAUUCGGUAUCUCAUAGAGCCGACCAAACCUCAAAGCUAGCGCAGUGUUCUCGUAUGAGGAGGAAGUCAGGAUCAGGUAGCUUCGCCGAAGAAAGCCCGUGGAAGGUAGUCAAUUGGUAGCGAUAUCAGUUGAAACUUAUAGCCGCGGGUCAAACGGUGGAGCUGCCUGAGGAAUCACGACAAUGCGCUCCGCAAGGCUGCUGGUGGGGGCUCCUUUCUGGCCGUGAUUUUGAAGGACAAAGUCCUGUAGAGGUCACGGUUGGUUACUGGGUUUUCACUUGACCGCGCAUUCGCGAUCUUGACGAAAUGGUUUUCAUUGACCCGUCUUGAAACACGGACCAAGGAGUCUAACAUAUAUGCGAGUAUUUGGGUCUAAAAACCCUGAUGCGCAAUGAAAGUGAAGCCAGUCUUGUACUGGUGAGGUAGGAACCGCAAGGGGCACUAUCGACCGAUCGUUCAUUCAUGAAAGAUUUGAGUAAGAGCAUAUCUGUUGGGACCCGAAAGAUGGUGAACUAUGCCUGAUCAGGGUGAAGCCAGGGGAAACUCUGGUGGAGGCUCGUAGCGAUACUGACGUGCAAAUCGUUCGUCUGAAUUGGGUAUAGGGGCGAAAGACUAAUCGAACCAUCUAGUAGCUGGUUCCCGC